AUAUUGCUCACAGUACUAUUAAAAAUCUUAGAUGUAGUCUUCACAAAUAACUCUCAUUUUAAGGGCUAGUGCACUUUCUUUUCAGUCCCAAAUUUACCUGCUGUGCUAAUGCAGUGUCCUCUCACAUUCUUUGUGGAAAAUUAAUUACUUGAGUAAUAAGGAUAUAUAUAAAAAAAUAUCUUCAAACAGGUUACAAAGAGUUGUUUGCACUGAAGGGAAGUUGCCCACUGCAUUUUAAGUUUGCAGCAUGAAUAAAUCUCUUUGUGUUCUCAUUUCAGGGCUUUCUCACACGCUGUGUCCCACCAUUGUGCCUGGAAGGGAGAGACAAGUACAGCCUUUUGGGCUGGCUAACCUUGUCCCAGAAGGAUUGCUCUUAAAGACCAUUUUCUGCUCUUUGCAAUCUUAAAUCCCAUGGGAGGAGAAACUUCCCCCGCUGCCCCAGAGGCAGGCUUGCCCUCUAUUACAUUUCACUUUAAGGAAAUAUUUUCUUGAUCUUCAGCCUUUAUGUCUCACUUGCUUAAUUCCUUCCCACUGCACCUAGUUAAAUUUCCUUGUACAAUCCUAAAUAAUUAAUCACCUCCUUCAUUCAUUUCAAACACUUGUUGAAUACAGAGCAGAGAACAAGAAUUGCUCAUAGGAAGAAAAGAAAUGGGAACUGGAUGAGAGAGGACCAGUUGAGAGGCGAGGAACGGGGAAAGAACGAUGCUCCAAGCAUAAAAUCCAAGCUGCUGACCUUGAAGGCUGAAGAUCUCAAAUUUUUAAGCAAGUCCAGAAAUGCAUUCUUAGACUGCAAGGGCAGUCUAAGUCUAAGAACUUCCUGGCAGAAGGCAUGACCAUUGUGCAAUGUGUCCAGCUACCAUGAGCUGAACACCCAACCAGGAUGCUAAAAUCUCUGCACCGGGAUCCCUUCCUCGCUCUCCUUCAGUGGAGAACAAGCAAUUUCUCCAGAUAAGAGCUAAGGUCUGACCCUCACCUGGUGAUAUCUCCCUAGCUUUCCCUACAGGUGUAUGGGGAUGCUCAAACAACCAAACACAUUGGUUGACUGAACCUGACGCCUGGCCACACAGAAGCUCUUAUGUCUAAGGAGACAACUUAGCACCACUACCCUGGGUUGAACUGCACAGCCCUGGGGACUGUAGGUAAGAAACUUUUCUGUGCUUUGCCCAAGGAAGAGAGGGUAGUCAGCAAGCAGGGAGAUCACUAACUGUUAGUAGAAAAGAGUAAGGCUAAAUGAGCUGAAGAAAAUGAGGCUGGAGGAGAAGAUGACACUGUGUAUGCCUCCUGUUGGGCCUGUUUGCCCUCCAUGCAAAGUUACAAUCCAGCUACUUGGUGUUGUUUCCACAAAACGUGCACUUUUUAUUUAUUCACGCCUGGGAACAUGACCUCUCAUCCAGGAGCUCUGUUCCACUGAGAGUAAAUUUAUGGCUGGCACCUGCUCCUGCAUCAGGCACAGGGAGGUGAUUUAUGGCAAAGUAAUUGCAUUCUGACCCGGUGACAAGCCAUUCUGCCGAGAUGUUGAAG
Molecule: long non-coding RNA, 1521 nt
Filed under: Calidris pygmaea (Spoon-billed sandpiper)
Lineage: Eukaryota; Metazoa; Chordata; Aves; Charadriiformes; Scolopacidae
Description: lncRNA (ENSCPGG00000001783.1)
Source: RNAcentral